ACUGUGUCCAAGUCCCUUGGAACAGGGUAUCAAAGAGGGUGAUAAUCCCGUACUUGACACAAUGACCGGUGCUCUGUGAUACGUCUUCUACGAGUCGAGUUGUUUGGGAAUGCAGCUCAAAAUGGGUGGUGAGUUCCAUCUAAAGCUAAAUAUUGGCGAGAGACCGAUAGCGAACAAGUACCGUGAGGGAAAGAUGAAAAGCACUUUGGAAAGAGAGUUAAACAGUACGUGAAAUUGUUAAAAGGGAAACGAUUGAAGUCAGUCGUGACUGAGAGGCUCAGCCGGUUCUGCCGGUGUAUUCCCCUCAGUCGGGUCAACAUCAGUUUUGUUCGGUGGAUAAGGGCAGUUGGAAGGUGGCACCCUCGGGUGUGUUAUAGCCAGCUGUCGCAUACAUCGGAUGAGACUGAGGAAUGCAGCUCGCCUUUAUGGCCGGGGUUCGCCCACGUUCGAGCUUAGGAUGUUGACAUAAUGGCUUUAAACGACCCGUCUUGAAACACGG
RNAcentral lists this ribosomal RNA (499 nucleotides) under Papiliotrema flavescens. Its description in RNAcentral is "eukaryotic LSU rRNA". It matches the Rfam family "Eukaryotic large subunit ribosomal RNA", at positions 174 to 664 of the family's 3401-position model. The record is from RNAcentral. Lineage: Eukaryota; Fungi; Basidiomycota; Tremellomycetes; Tremellales; Rhynchogastremaceae.